AGGAUGGGUGGCCCCCUGGGAAGUCCUCGUGUUGCAUCCCU
Molecule: ribosomal RNA, 41 nt
Filed under: Solanum medians
Lineage: Eukaryota; Viridiplantae; Streptophyta; Magnoliopsida; Solanales; Solanaceae
Source: RNAcentral